AGUUGAUCAUGGCUCAGAACGACGCUGGCGGCAUGCCUAACACAUGCAAGUCGAACGAGACCUUCGGGUCUAGUGGCGCACGGGUGCGUAACGCGUGGGAAUCUGCCCUUAGGUUCGGAAUAACAGUUAGAAAUGACUGCUAAUACCGGAUAAUGUCUUCGGACCAAAGAUUUAUCGCCCAGGGAUGAGCCCGCGUAGGAUUAGCUAGUUGGUGAGGUAAAGGCUCACCAAGGCGACGAUCCUUAGCUGGUCUGAGAGGAUGAUCAGCCACACUGGGACUGAGACACGGCCCAGACUCCUACGGGAGGCAGCAGUGGGGAAUAUUGGACAAUGGGCGAAAAGCCUGAUCCAGCAAUGCCGCGUGAGUGAUGAAGGCCUUAGGGUUGUAAAGCUCUUUUACCCGGGAUGAUAAUGACAGUACCCGCAGAAUAAGCCCCGGCUAACUUCGUG
Molecule: ribosomal RNA, 450 nt
Filed under: uncultured bacterium
Lineage: Bacteria
Description: bacterial SSU rRNA
Rfam family: Bacterial small subunit ribosomal RNA
Source: RNAcentral